GAUGAACGCUGGCGGCGUGCCUAAUACAUGCAAGUCGAGCGAACGGACGAGAAGCUUGCUUCUCCGAUGUUAGCGGCGGACGGGUGAGUAACACGUGGAUAACCUACCUAUAAGACUGGGAUAACUUCGGGAAACCGGAGCUAAUACCGGAUGAUAUUUUGAACCGCAUGGUUCAAAAGUGAAAGACGGUCUUGCUGUCACUUAUAGAUGGAUCCGCGGUGCAUUAGCUAGUUGGUAAGGUAACGGCUUACCAAGGCAACGAUGCAUAGCCGACCUGAGGGGGUGAUCGGCCACACUGGAACUGAGACACGGUCCAGACUCCUACGGGAGGCAGCAGUAGGGAAUCUUCCGCAAUGGGCGAAAGCCUGACGGAGCAACGCCGCGGGAGUGAUGAGGGUCUUCGGAUCGUAAAACUCUGUUAUUAGGGAAGAACAUAUGUGUAAGUAACUGUGCACAUCUUGACGGUACCUAAUCAGAAAGCCACGGCUAACUACGUG
Molecule: ribosomal RNA, 497 nt
Filed under: uncultured bacterium
Lineage: Bacteria
Description: partial 16S ribosomal RNA
Rfam family: Bacterial small subunit ribosomal RNA
Source: RNAcentral